UAAAUAAUAUAAGAGCAUUUGGUGGAUGCCUUGGUGCUAGAAGGCGACGAAAGACGUGGUAAACUGCGAUAAGCUUCGGGGAGUUGAAACAAGCUUUGAUCCGAAGAUCUCUGAAUGGGGGAACCCACCUGAUUAGUCAGGUAUCUAGUAGUGAAUACAUAGCUACUGGAAGCAAACCCGGCGAACUGAAAUAUCUAAGUAGCCGGAGGAAAGGAAAUCAAACGAGACUCCGUUAGUAGUGACGAGCGAACGCGGACCAGGCCAGUUGUCUUGAGAAAAUAAUUAGAAUAACCUGGAAAGGUUAGCCAUAGAUGGUGAUAGCCCAGUAUAAGUAAAAAGUUCAAGAUACUUGAGUAAGGCGGGACACGUGAAAUCCCGUUUAAAAAUGGGGGGACCACCCUCCAAGCCUAAGUACUCUCUAGCGACCGAUAGUGAACAAGUACCGUAAGGGAAAGGUGAAAAGAACCCCGAACAGGGGAGUGAAAUAGACCUGAAACCGAAUGCUUAUAAACAGUCGGAGCGGCAUAUGCCGUGACGGCGUACCUCUUGUAUAAUGGGUCAGCGACUUAGUUUAUCGAGCAAGCUUAAGCCGUUAGGCGUAGGCAAAGCGAAAGCGAGUCUGAAUAGGGCGAUAAGUUCGAUGAAUUAGACCCGAAACCCGGUGAUCUAGCCAUGACCAGGUUGAAGACUGAGUAACAUCAGUUGGAGGACCGAACUCGUUAAUGUUGAAAAAUUAUGAGAUGAGUUGUGGCUAGGGGUGAAAGGCCAAUCAAACCGGGAGAUAGCUGGUUCUCCGCGAAAUCUAUUUAGGUAGAGCGUUAUGUUAAUUACUUACUGAAGGUAGAGCACUAGAUGGGCUAGGGGGUCCUACAGACUUACCAAACUCAAUUAAACUCCGAAUGUCAGUAAGCGUAUCAUAGCAGACAGACUGCGGGUGCUAAGAUCCGUAGUCGAAAGGGAAACAGCCCAGACCGCCAUCUAAGGUCCCCAAAUCAUAGCUAAGUGUGUAAGGAAGUGAAAAGGCCAAAACAGCUAGGAAGUUGGCUUAGAAGCAGCCAUCUUUUAAAGAAAGCGUAACAGCUCACUAGUCUAAAUAAGCCUUCUUGCGCCGACAAUGUAACGGGGCUAAAGCUAUGUACCGAAGAUGCGGAUUUACAUCAAUAGAUGUAAGUGGUAGCGGAGCGUUCUGUAAGCCGUUGAAGGCAAGUUGUGAAUCUUGCUGGAGGUAUCAGAAGUGAGAAUGCUGACAUGAGUAACGAUUAAGAAUGUGAGAAACAUUCUCGCCGUAUGUCUAAGGUUUCCUGCGUAAAGCUAAUCUGCGCAGGGUUAGCCGGCCCCUAAGGCGAGGCUGAAAAGCGUAGUCGAUGGGAAUCAGGUUAAUAUUCCUGAGCCUGAAGAGUGUGACGAAGUGUGUAAAUUGUAUGUGCUUAAUGGAUUGUACAUGCAGUGAAAUGCUUCCAGGAAAUAGCCUCUUCAAUAUAGACCGUACUAUAAACCGACACAGGUGGACGAGUAGAAUAUACUAAGGCGUUUGAGAAAACGAUGCUGAAGGAACUAGGCAAAUUGCAUCUGUAACUUCGGGAUAAGGAUGACCUUUAUUUAGGCAACUAGAUAAGGGUGGCACAGAAAUGGGGGUAGCAACUGUUUAUUAAAAACACAGGGCUCUGCAAAGUCGUAAGACGAAGUAUAGGGUCUGACGCCUGCCCAAUGCUGGAAGAUUAAAAGGAGGGGUGCAAGCUCUGAAUUGAAGUCCCAGUGAAUGGCGGCCGUAACUAUGACGGUCCUAAGGUAGCGAAAUUCCUUGUCGGGUAAGUUCCGACCCGCACGAAUGGCGUAAUGACUUCCCCGCUGUCUCCAGCAUCGACUCAGUGAAAUUGGAUUCUCCGUGAAGAUACGGAGUUCCCGCGGUUAGACGGAAAGACCCCGUGAACCUUUACUAUAGCUUUGUAUUGGUGUUAGAAAUUAGAUGUGCAGGAUAGGUAGGAGACUAUGAUGCAGUGGCGCUAGCUGCUGCGGAGUCACCCUUGAGAUACUACCCUUUUAAUUUUUGAUAUCUAACCUAGGACCUUGAAUCAGGUCCAGGGACAGUGCAUGGUGGGUAGUUUGACUGGGGCGGUCGCCUCCCAAAGAGUAACGGAGGCGUGCGAAGGUUAGCUCAGGUUGGUCAGAAAUCAACUGUUAGAGUGCAAUGGCAUAAGCUAGCCUGACUGCGAGUCCUACAAGACGAGCAGAGACGAAAGUCGGUCAUAGUGACCCGGUGGUCCCGAGUGGAAGGGCCAUCGCUCAACGGAUAAAAGGUACUCCGGGGAUAACAGGCUGAUGAUCUCCAAGAGCUCAUAUCGACGAGAUCGUUUGGCACCUCGAUGUCGGCUCAUCACAUCCUGGGGCUGAAGAAAGUCCCAAGGGUUCGGCUGUUCGCCGAUUAAAGUGGUACGUGAGCUGGGUUUAGAACGUCGUGAGACAGUUCGGUCCCUAUCUGCCGUGGGUGUAGGAAAUUUGAGAGGACCUGCCUUUAGUACGAGAGGACCAAGGUGGACGUACCUCUGGUGUGCCAGUUGUCGUGCCAGCGGCAUAGCUGGGUAGCUAAGUACGGAAGAGAUAACCGCUGAAUGCAUCUAAGUGGGAAACUCGCCUCAAAAAUAAAUUUCCCUAUCAGAGCCGUAGAAGACCACUACGUUGAUAGGCCAGGUGUGUAAGCGUGGUAACACGUUCAGCUAACUGGUACUAAUAGCUCGAUUGUUUUACUGAU
RNAcentral lists this ribosomal RNA (2749 nucleotides) under Candidatus Phycorickettsia trachydisci. RNAcentral's name for it is "bacterial LSU rRNA". It matches the Rfam family "Bacterial large subunit ribosomal RNA". Lineage: Bacteria; Pseudomonadati; Pseudomonadota; Alphaproteobacteria; Rickettsiales; Rickettsiaceae. The record is from RNAcentral.